Molecule: ribosomal RNA, 253 nt
Filed under: uncultured bacterium
Lineage: Bacteria
Description: partial 16S ribosomal RNA
Rfam family: Bacterial small subunit ribosomal RNA
Source: RNAcentral
UACGGAGGGUGCAAGCGUUAUCCGGAUUCACUGGGUUUAAAGGGUGUGUAGGCGGGCUGUUAAGUCAGUGGUGAAAUCUCCGGGCUCAACCCGGAAACUGCCAUUGAUACUAUCAGUCUUGAAUUUUGUUGAGGUAGGCGGAAUAUGUCAUGUAGCGGUGAAAUGCUUAGAUAUGACAUAGAACACCGAUUGCGAAGGCAGCUUACUAAGCAAAUAUUGACGCUGAGGCACGAAAGCGUGGGGAUCAAACAGG